This 31-nucleotide non-coding RNA is filed under the name Mus musculus (house mouse). The record is from RNAcentral. Lineage: Eukaryota; Metazoa; Chordata; Mammalia; Rodentia; Muridae.
GCCCUUUUCUGACCUGCGAUGUCUCGCCUGC